GAGGCACUCAAGUAGAGCAGCCAGGAGCAGGUUACACUGUGGACCUUAGAGUCCACAAACAAGAGUCCAAACCCUAUAAUGAGCAGAGCUGCCGCCCUGGCUUUCAUGGCCACACAGAAGAUGGAAACAAGCCCAGCCCGAGAUGCAGUAUCUGCCCAGAUGAGCGGCUGCCCUGUCUGCAGGGCCCUUCCAGCCCCAGCUGGUACCUCUCUAUGUCUUCUGUUCUAUGGACUUGGUGAGCCUCGGAGCUUCUCUCCAGAAAUGAUGUCCUGAAAUUGUCAGUCAUGGUGUACAAAAAUUGAACAAAAGGCUCCUUCAAUGAAAAUCCAAGAGCGAACAUAGGUUACCACAAAUGGAACAAAUCUGGAACUGGCCUAAAACAAUCUUGAGCUUCCUAGAUGCCAAAGCAAAAAGGAAAUCCAUGACCUGCAGCCACAGUCACAUGCUGAGAAAAGCUGCUGCUACCUAACCCUGCCAGGGUACAUUAUCGUUGUUGGAGCUUGGGAAGACAUAUUAUGUGACCUCAUCAUUCUGACCUCAUCAAAACCCCAUGUUAAGUUCUGGUUCACUGACACAUUUUAUUACUUAGUAGCUAACUCCAGCUUAAGUUUUGUCAGAAAUGUAUAAA
This 628-nucleotide long non-coding RNA is filed under the name Cricetulus griseus (Chinese hamster). RNAcentral describes it as "lncRNA (ENSCGRG00015043310.1)". The record is from RNAcentral. Lineage: Eukaryota; Metazoa; Chordata; Mammalia; Rodentia; Cricetidae.